This 332-nucleotide ribosomal RNA is filed under the name uncultured eukaryote. RNAcentral describes it as "partial 18S ribosomal RNA". It matches the Rfam family "Eukaryotic small subunit ribosomal RNA", at positions 1470 to 1796 of the family's 1831-position model. The record is from RNAcentral.
CCCUUAGAUGUUCGGGGCCGCACGCGCGCUACACUGAAUGGAUCAACGUGCCUUUCCCGAGGCUGAAAAGUCGAGGUAAUCCGUUGAACCCCAUUCGUGACGGGGAUAGGAGCUUGCAAUUAUUCUCCUUGAACGAGGAAUUCCCAGUAAGCGCGAGUCAUCAGCUCGCGUUGAUUACGUCCCUGCCCUUUGUACACACCGCCCGUCGCUACUACCGAUCGGACUGUCCUGUGAAUUUCUAGGAGAGUUGAGGUCCUGGCGCUUCGGUGUCGGCGACCUCAUGCUUGAAUUGAAUUGAACUGGACUCUCUAGAGGAAGUAAAAGUCGUAACA